AUUGAACGCUGGCGGCAUGCCUUACACAUGCAAGUCGAACGGCAGCACGGGUGCUUGCACCUGGUGGCGAGUGGCGAACGGGUGAGUAAAGUAUCGGAACGUGCCUGGUAGUGGGGGAUAACUAGUCGAAAGACUAGCUAAUACCGCAUACGAUCUAAGGAUGAAAGCAGGGGACCUUCGGGCCUUGUGCUAUCAGAGCGGCCGAUAUCUGAUUAGCUAGUUGGUGGGGUAAAAGCCCACCAAGGCGACGAUCAGUAGCUGGUCUGAGAGGACGACCAGCCACACUGGAGCUGAGACACGGUCCAGACUCCUACGGGAGGCAGCAGUGGGGAAUUUUGGACAAUGGGGGCAACCCUGAUCCAGCAAUGCCGCGUGAGUGAAGAAGGCCCUCGGGUUGUAAAGCUCUUUUGUCAGGGAAGAAAAGGCUGUGGCUAAUAUCCACAGCUGCUGACGGUACCUGAAGAAUAAGCACCGGCUAACUACGUGCCAGCCGCCGCCGUAA
This 502-nucleotide ribosomal RNA is filed under the name uncultured bacterium. RNAcentral's name for it is "partial 16S ribosomal RNA". It matches the Rfam family "Bacterial small subunit ribosomal RNA", at positions 30 to 523 of the family's 1533-position model. The record is from RNAcentral.